AAGCGUUCUCAGGGCGGGGCGAAAUUCCCCACCGGCGGUGAUGGCGGCGAAGGCCGUACGAGCCCGCGAGCGCCCGCGGCGUGCAAUGCGCCCUGGGGUCAGCAGACCCGGUGCGAUUCCGGGGCCGACGGUCACAGUCCGGAUGAAAGAGAGCGCGA
Molecule: non-coding RNA, 158 nt
Filed under: Variovorax sp.
Lineage: Bacteria; Pseudomonadati; Pseudomonadota; Betaproteobacteria; Burkholderiales; Comamonadaceae
Description: FMN sequence
Rfam family: FMN riboswitch aptamer (RFN element)
About the family: The RFN element is a highly conserved domain that is found frequently in the 5'-untranslated regions of prokaryotic mRNAs that encode for flavin mononucleotide (FMN) biosynthesis and transport proteins. This element is a metabolite-dependent riboswitch that directly binds FMN in the absence of proteins. In Bacillus subtilis, the riboswitch most likely controls gene expression by causing premature transcription termination within the 5' untranslated region of the ribDEAHT operon and precluding access to the ribosome-binding site of ypaA mRNA.
Source: RNAcentral